UAAUCAUCUCCAUCUGAUUAUAAUCAAAGUUAAAUUCUGUUACUUGAUCGAGAUUACUACUACAAACCCCUUAUUUACAUUCUGUACUACUUGUUAGUUCCAGCAAAUGAGAGAUAUAUUUCCAUGUAUUCCUUUGGGUUCUACCCUAACCUGAGUUGGAAGUGUAGUUUGGGUGUUAAUUAAAAUUUUGGUGCCUUUGUC
This 201-nucleotide long non-coding RNA is filed under the name Capsicum annuum. RNAcentral's name for it is "long non-coding RNA (CANN_LNC015362)". The record is from RNAcentral. Lineage: Eukaryota; Viridiplantae; Streptophyta; Magnoliopsida; Solanales; Solanaceae.